UCUGAUUCCACUUUAUGAAGAGAUGUGUCUACACUCGGCACCCACCUGGAUAAAUUACUCUGAGCAAUCUGGGUAUCUUAAGGUCUUCAUUCGCAUCUGCAAAGCAGUGGACACCUCUGGACCCAAUCGAUCUCACACCGGCGGGAGCCAGUCCUGGCUUUAAGGAGCCCCUCGUUCUUCUGCUCUGGAAGAACCUGGACAGGAAUCAGUGAAAGCGGUUUUCCUUUUUGACGGCUUCUCUCGAGCAUGCCACGCUUGCCUCCUGGCCACUGGAAACUGAGCGUCUGCCACACUUCCUGGGAAGAUGUGCUGGAACAAACCAAUUAGUAUCCACCUAUUCAUUGUUCGCCUAGGGAGUGUACUGCUUGAAUGUCAGCCAUGCGUGACACGCGCAGACUCCAGGGUCCUGCCAGGAGCCCGCAUCCAAACCACAGAUCAAUCAGCCCAGAGGCCUCUCAAGUGACCAAGUGCUGGGAUAAUUUUACUGAAGAGUCUUCAUCUGCAAGUUGGCCACAUGAGUAUAUAGAAUGACAAAAGUCCAUCAUGGUACACACGUAAGCGGGCUUCCUUUACUAUGGCAGUCCAGUUCUCCACGGAAAAGAGCUCAGAGAAGUAGGUGUUGUCUAAGAAAAUUACACACCCCGUGCAGUGAUUUGGAAUAAAUGUUUCUAUGGCUGUCUUCCUUCUGAACAUGGGUCUGCAGACAAUCGGGAAUUUUGACUACCCUAGCACUUCAGACAUGCGGGGUGUGGAAACGUCAGGGGGCAGCCUGAAGGAGUCAGUUUUUUCCUUCCACCGUAUGGGUCCCAGAGAAUUUAGCUGCUCUUCCUCGGACUUGGCAGCAAACGCCUUUACCUGCUGAACUAUCCUACCAGCUCGGUUUGCUGUACUUAAUUAAUACAGACUACCAAACGAGAAGCAGGGAAAGGCUAAGCCAGAGAGACAAUUUGUUUGGGUUCAACAUAGCACUCUGCAGCUCAAUGUCAGGGAUAUCCCUUAGCUUAGGAGGGCAGGUUGGCAGAUGGUCUUUCUGCCUGACACCCCAGGGUCAUCCUGAUUGCAGGGUGGCAGGUCUUUGCCCUUGCUUUCCUGGCAACUUCGUAGCUGAGCAUAUGGAGGCGCGGGGACCAGGCUAUCAUUCUCCCACCAAGAGUUUGCUGCAAACAAGACAGGGGGAGGCAGAGGAACAGCUCCCGAUGCCUCGUGCUACCUCUGUGCUCAUGGGACAACUGUGACAUAAAUUCCAUCCUGAGAUGAAAGGUCAUGCCAUCUUGAAGCCAUGGGAGGAAGCUACGAGCUCAGUGCCUGCAAAGUAAGGUCAAGCAGAAUGAGGCUAGAGAGCUAACAGCUCCUCUGGCCCCUGAGUAUCUCCCCUCAGCCUGCUCCAGCUCUUCCCUCCUCAUCUGUAUGGUGUCCCUGUCCACGAGCAGGGCCUUGCAGAUGCAAUUAACACAAGAAUCUCAAGGAGAAACGGACCCGUGUCUUCUAGGCGGGCUCUUAAAACUACACAGCGGAGAGGCUGUCAGAGAGGAGGAGCCACACGAUGACACACGGAAACAGAGUGAAACAGCACAGUCACAAGUCAGGUCACAAGUCAGGUGACGCCUGGAGCUACGGGAAGAAACCUGAAGGGGCAUAGGAGGGAUGAUUCCUGAGGUAGCAGAGGCCGCAUAGCCUUGUCCAGACUCUUGUAAUACAGAACUGUGAGGACAUUCCUAUUGGUCAUUUUUCUCUUGGGAAGUUCUGGUGUCCUGAAAAAUUUAAUAACGGCCGCCCUCAGAAACGUACGUGCUAGGGAGAGCUGAGCCACCCGCCCUCGGCUUGUGAUGGUACCAGGACUCGUUAGCUUUGGUUUAGAAGGGGAGAACUGCAAGCUGGGCCUGAGCGUGUCCCACACAGCAUUGUCUCCUGCAAUGUGCUUCCUGUCCUUCAGCAAACCCCCCUUCACCUUUUACUCAGUGUACUUCUGCGGAGCAUCUGCUGACAUCAGGUUCAAAGACAGACUUGGCGCAUGCUGGUGGCCAGAAAUGCAGCCACUACCUUCAGGUGUCUCAGAGAAUGAAAGACCAAAAAUAAAAUGUACACAAGGUUUGAUAGAGUUCCUCUAGUUUCGGAAGGAACAGCCUAAGGGGCGACAGGAGGAAAGGAUGACCCUGGAGUGAGUCCUGGGUGGAAAAGUCAACUUCAAGGACAGGGGUUGGGGAUGGUGGUCCAGCCAGUCAGAACAGAUGUGAAGUUGAAACACUCCAGGGUGAAAGGUAAGGGCUGGCAUAUAGAUACCUGAGCUGACAAUGCCUGCAGUGUGUGGGCCGACAGCCCUGUGUCUCACUGCUCCCAGGGAAGACACUAAAGCGCACACAAGACCCUCAUAUCUGAGGGACACGUCUCCCACUGACUGGUCUUCUGGAUCGAGAUGGAGGAAGACCGGUAACCAUCGCCCUUCCACCACGUCAGAUUAACAGAAGCAACUCAGGCAUGCAUGUCGGCAUGCAUCUGCAGUUCCAGCACGCUAGAAAAUGGGCAGCAAGGUCACCCACGAGUCAGAAACCAGCCUGGAUGACAGGGAGAUUCCGCCAGCCAGAUGACACAGUGAGACCCUGUCUUGGAGCAGACACACAAACAAGAGAAUAAAUCAUACAGGCAUGCCUUUCAUUUCUUAAAAUAAAAAUAAUCUCAAGCCUUCCCCCUUAGCUACACAACCACUCUAUCAAGAGGUAAGCGGUUCACAAGCUCAAAUGUUUGAAAUUUCGCUCAUGGCUGCAGAUUCACACUUAACAAUGGGUUAGGCAUAUGUGUACUUACAAAUGCAUAUGCUGAUAUGGCCAUUUAGCUAAGCAUAUUUAUCACGAGUGUAUCCUUGAGCCUGCGUGUGUGUGCGCCGUAAUUGCUUUUAAUGAGUGGAUAACAUCACAGUUGAGUCUCUUAGAAU
This is a long non-coding RNA of Mesocricetus auratus (golden hamster), 2929 nucleotides long. RefSeq lists it as uncharacterized. Lineage: Eukaryota; Metazoa; Chordata; Mammalia; Rodentia; Cricetidae. The transcript is spliced from 3 exons. The record is from RefSeq and is a predicted model, not a curated record.